RNAcentral lists this ribosomal RNA (423 nucleotides) under Anomaloglossus surinamensis group sp. ABGD cluster 6. RNAcentral's name for it is "partial large subunit ribosomal RNA". It matches the Rfam family "Bacterial large subunit ribosomal RNA", at positions 1818 to 2453 of the family's 2925-position model. Lineage: Eukaryota; Metazoa; Chordata; Amphibia; Anura; Aromobatidae. The record is from RNAcentral.
GCCUCUUGACUUAACCAUAAGAGGUCCAGCCUGCCCAGUGACAUUGUUCAACGGCCGCGGUAUUCUAACCGUGCGAAGGUAGCGUAAUCACUUGUCCUUUAAAUGAGGACUAGUAUGAACGGCCACACGAAAGCUAUGCUGUCUCCUUUUUCUAAUCAGUUAAACUAAUCUCCCCGUGAAGAAGCGGGGAUGAUUAUAUAAGACGAGAAGACCCUAUGGAGCUUUAAACAAUUGAAACACUUGUACCCAUCUUCCACACUUCCGACAGCCUACGCUUAAUUUUACACUUUGUUUCUAGCUUUAGGUUGGGGUGACCACGGAGAAAAAACAAACCUCCACGCUGAAAGAGUUAAUCUCUAAACAAAAAGCUACAUCUUUAAGUAUUAAUACAUUAACCUGAAUUGACCCAAUAAAUUGAUCAAC